Desmophyllum pertusum is the source of this 73-nucleotide non-coding RNA. NCBI's taxonomy places the organism in Eukaryota, Metazoa, Cnidaria, Anthozoa, Scleractinia, Caryophylliidae. The record is from the annotation of a GenBank genome assembly.
GCCUCAAUGGCGUAGUGGUCAUCAUGCCUGACUGGUAACCAGGGAGACGUGGGUUUGAUUCCAGCUUGGGACA